GGGCUCAUAGCUCAGUUGGUAGAGCGCCGCAUUCGCAUUGCGGAGGCCGGGAGUUCAAAUCUCCCUGAGUCCA
Molecule: transfer RNA, 73 nt
Filed under: Patescibacteria group bacterium
Lineage: Bacteria
Also listed under: 2 other names
Description: tRNA-Ala
Rfam family: tRNA
About the family: Transfer RNA (tRNA) molecules are approximately 80 nucleotides in length.
Source: RNAcentral